This 477-nucleotide ribosomal RNA is filed under the name Pseudomonas sp. Its description in RNAcentral is "bacterial SSU rRNA". It matches the Rfam family "Bacterial small subunit ribosomal RNA", at positions 30 to 500 of the family's 1533-position model. The record is from RNAcentral. Lineage: Bacteria; Pseudomonadati; Pseudomonadota; Gammaproteobacteria; Pseudomonadales; Pseudomonadaceae.
AUUGAACGCUGGCGGCAGGCCUAACACAUGCAAGUCGAGCGGUUGAAGGAAGCUUGCUUCCUGAUUCAGCGGCGGACGGGUGAGUAAUGCCUAGGAAUCUGCCUGGUAGUGGGGGACAACGUUUCGAAAGGAACGCUAAUACCGCAUACGUCCUACGGGAGAAAGCAGGGGACCUUCGGGCCUUGCGCUAUCAGAUGAGCCUAGGUCGGAUUAGCUAGUUGGUGAGGUAAUGGCUCACCAAGGCGACGAUCCGUAACUGGUCUGAGAGGAUGAUCAGUCACACUGGAACUGAGACACGGUCCAGACUCCUACGGGAGGCAGCAGUGGGGAAUAYUGGMCAAUGGGCGAAAGCCUGAUCCAGCCAUGCCGCGUGUGUGAAGAAGGUCUUCGGAUUGUAAAGCACUUUAAGUUGGGAGGAAGGGCAGUAAGCGAAUACCUUGCUGUUUUGACGUUACCGACAGAAUAAGCACCGGCUAA